Molecule: ribosomal RNA, 501 nt
Filed under: uncultured bacterium
Lineage: Bacteria
Description: bacterial SSU rRNA
Rfam family: Bacterial small subunit ribosomal RNA
Source: RNAcentral
AGAGUUUGAUCCUGGCUUAGGACGAACGCUGGCGGCGUGCCCCAAUACAUGCAAGGUCGAACGGACGAUGGGGCUUCGGCCCCAAAGUUAGUGGCGAACGGGUGAGUAACGCGUGAGCAACCUGACUCAAAGAGGGGGACAACAGCUGGAAACGGCUGCUAAUACCGCAUAAGACCACAGCGCGGCAUCGCAAAGGGGUCAAAGAAUUAUCGCUUUGAGAGGGGCUCGCGUCCCAUUAGAUAGUUGGUGAGGUAACGGCCCACCAAGUCCGCGAUGGGUAGCCGAGCUGAGAGGCUGAUCGGCCACACUGGAACUGAGACACGGUCCAGACUCCUACGGGAGGCAGCAGUAGGGAAUAUUGGGCAAUGGGCGCAAGCCUGAACCCCCAGCAACGCCGCGUGAGGGAAGAAGGUUUUCGGAUUGUAAACCUCUGUCCUAUGUGACGAAGGAAGUGACGGUAGCAUAGGAGGAAGCCCCGGCUAACUACGUGCCAGCAGCGGC